AUCUCUAUGUGUUCCCAUGUAAGUGAACGAGCAAGAGGGGUGUUGAUGCUCAAAACUGGUGAGGUUAACAAAGACCAAAAUGGUUGUGUGUUGGCCCUCGAUGGGCUAAAUAACAAUAUUUAAGUGGUUCAUUUCUCAAAACUCGGCUACAUCCAUUGAGAUUUCUGUAUAUAUUGACUAAGAAGUUACAAAUAGCGUCUGACUUACUACAGUCUCUUUACAAAUAGUGUCAGUCUUAAUACAGUCUUUUUUUCUCUCAAUUCAUCUAAGAGUGCUCAUCCUCUUUAUAU
Molecule: long non-coding RNA, 290 nt
Filed under: Malus domestica (apple)
Lineage: Eukaryota; Viridiplantae; Streptophyta; Magnoliopsida; Rosales; Rosaceae
Description: long non-coding RNA (MDOM_LNC015004)
Source: RNAcentral